GGAUUUCCUAAAUGCUGCCCAGCAAUGAGUUGAAGCAAUGCUUCUCCUAUAAUUCAGAGAUAAUACGUGGCUGGAUUCCAGUGACAUGGCUGGUGUUCUUUCUUGGCUUGGCACUCAGCUUCCUCUGAUGAAACUGCUCCAACAUCCAGUAGAGACUUAAUGGCAGCAAUGUGCAGGGUGUGCAUAGAACCGCACAGUGCUUUCAGGUGUCUGCUCAGCCCCCUGCCUGCCUUGUGUAUCUGGACCAAUACAUGUAUUAAAGCAUGAUAGCCUACCAAAUCUGAAUCCAUGGUUUCUAUCAGGGAUCAGGUAUCAUCUAUUAUCAGCAGCUGAUGUCAGUAUCAGAAAGCUCCUGUUGGAAGGUUGCCUCUGCAUGUGGUUUGAGGUCCGUAUCCCAUGGUGCUGGGGUAGAACCAUAACAGCUCCCCGCAGAACCUGUGCAGUCUGCAGUGAAUUGAUUGAUCUGUGCUCACCUUUUCCCAGCUGGUUGAAGAGGUCAUUCAGCUUUAAGAGUCCACAGAAUCUGCAUGGAUAUGACUUUGUUGCUCUUAAGUAA
Molecule: long non-coding RNA, 556 nt
Filed under: Cairina moschata (Muscovy duck)
Lineage: Eukaryota; Metazoa; Chordata; Aves; Anseriformes; Anatidae
Description: domestica (muscovy Duck (domestic type)) lncRNA (ENSCMMG00000013451.1)
Source: RNAcentral